UACGGAGGGUGCAAGCGUUAUCCGGAAUCACUGGGUUUAAAGGGUGCGUAGGCUGUAUAGUAAGUCAGAAGUGAAAGCUUCCCGCUAAACGGGAAAACUGCUUUUGAUACUGCUAAACUUGAGUUAGGUUGAGGUAGGCGGAAUGUGACAUGUAGCGGUGAAAUGCUUAGAUAUGUCAUAGAACACCAAUUGCGAAGGCAGCUUACUAGACCUAUACUGACGCUGAGGCACGAAAGCGUGGGGAGCGAACAGG
This 253-nucleotide ribosomal RNA is filed under the name uncultured bacterium. Its description in RNAcentral is "partial 16S ribosomal RNA". It matches the Rfam family "Bacterial small subunit ribosomal RNA", at positions 524 to 776 of the family's 1533-position model. The record is from RNAcentral.